RNAcentral lists this ribosomal RNA (497 nucleotides) under uncultured bacterium. RNAcentral describes it as "partial 16S ribosomal RNA". It matches the Rfam family "Bacterial small subunit ribosomal RNA", at positions 28 to 507 of the family's 1533-position model. The record is from RNAcentral.
GAUGAACGCUGGCGGCGUGCCUAAUACAUGCAAGUCGAGCGAACGGACGAGAAGCUUGCUUCUCUGAUGUUAGCGGCGGACGGGUGAGUAACACGUGGAUAACCUACCUAUAAGACUGGGAUAACUUCGGGAAACCGGGGCUAAUACCGGAUAAUAUUUUGAACCGCAUGGUUCAAAAGUGAAAGACGGUCUUGCUGUCACUUAUAGAUGGAUCCGCGCUGCAUUAGCUAGUUGGUAAGGUAACGGCUUACCAAGGCAACGAUGCAUAGCCGACCUGAGAGGGUGAUCAGCCACACUGGAACUGAGACACGGUCCAGACUCCUACGGGAGGCAGCAGUAGGGAAUCUUGCGCAAUGGGCGAAAGCCUGACGGAGCAACGCCGCGUGAGUGAUGAAGGUCUUCGGAUCGUAAAACUCUGUUAUUAGGGAAGAACAUAUGUGUAAGUAACUGUGCACAUCUUGACGGUACCUAAUCAGAAAGCCACGGCUAACUACGUG